Molecule: ribosomal RNA, 1500 nt
Filed under: marine metagenome
Description: bacterial LSU rRNA
Rfam family: Archaeal large subunit ribosomal RNA
Source: RNAcentral
GGGUUCCUCGGCAAUGUUCAUCAGCCGAGGGUUAGCCGGUCCUAAGGUCAUUCUUAACCGAAAUGAUCGAAUAGGGAAAUGCGUUAAUAUUCGUAUGCCAAUGUGCAUUUAUGGUGACGGCUUGGGCUAGUCUCACAGGUCAUAUGUCAGGCCUGAAGAUCGUAUAAGGAAUUGGAGAACCGUCAUGGUGAGAAAAUUCCGAAGUCGAUUGACAAUAUGAGAUGACGCCUAGGUCCCGUGAAAAGCCGCACAUUUGACCGUACCUAGAACUGACACAGGUGCCCCUGGGUGAGUAGCCUAAGGUGUGACGGGAAAAGUACCGCAAGGGAACUCGGCAAAAUAGCUCCGUAACUUCGGGAGAAGGAGUGCCAGCUUAGAGAUAAGCUGGUCGCAGUGACCAGGGGUCCCCGACUGUUUAAUAAAAACAUAGGCGAUUGCCAGUCCGAAAGGAUGAGUAUAGUCGCUGAAUCCUGCUCAGUGCUGGUAUCUGAAACUAGGGUUCAACCUAGCGAAGGACCAGUAAACAGCGGGGGUAACUAUGACCCUCUUAAGGUAGCGUAAUACCUUGUCGCUUAAUUGGCGACUUGCAUGAAUGGUCCAACGAGGGACCCACUGUCCCUGCGGUACGUCCGGCGAAAUUGACUUUACUGGCGCACAGUCCAGUACCUUCAACCUGCAAGCGAAGACCCCGUAGAGCUUUACUGCAGCCUGCCGUUGUGUAGUAGCACUUUUUGUGCUGCGUAGACGGGAGAUGUCGAUCCUCCAGACGUCAGUUUGGAGAGGAGUCGAACAGAGAGACACCGUCCUUGAAGUGCAACUACACUUACUCUUAACGAGGACACCGGUAGGUGGGCAGUUUGGGUGGGGCGCCACGCGCUCGAAAACCUAACAAGCGUGCCCAAAGGUCAGCUUAGGUGGUUCAGUCUCCACCGUAAACCGUAAGGGGAAAAGCUGGCUUGACGUGGAUCGGCACAAUAACGAUCGACGAUGAGAAAUCAGGGCCUAACGAACCUACUAGCCUCAUUUAUGGGGGCAGUUGAUAACAGAAAAGUUACCUCGGGGAUAAUUGAGUUGUCACCAGCAAGAGCUCACAUCGACCUGGUGGCUUGCUACUUCGAUGUCGUCUCUUCCUAUCCUGGGUCUGCAGCAGGACCCAAGGGUGGGGUUGUUCGCCCAUUAAAAGGGAUCGUGAGAUGGGUUUAGACCGUCGUGAGACAGGUUUGUUGCUUUGUGGUUGAAGCGUUGAUGCCUGAUGGAAAGGGCCCCUUAGUACGAGAGGAACGGGGGCUCGGGGCCACUAGUCUACCAGUUGUCUGACAAGGCAAUGCUGGGUAGCCACGCCCUAUGUGGAUAAGAGCUGAAAGCAUCUAAGCUCGAAGCCACCCCAAAGACGAGGCAUAUGAGACAGGCGGUAAAAGACCGCACAAUAGGAGUCGGGUGUAAGCAUGGAGGUUCGCCGACAUGCUCAGCCCAGGCUUACUAACGUCCUGCAUCUAUUUU